Molecule: long non-coding RNA, 223 nt
Filed under: Elaeis guineensis (African oil palm)
Lineage: Eukaryota; Viridiplantae; Streptophyta; Magnoliopsida; Arecales; Arecaceae
Description: long non-coding RNA (EGUI_LNC023981)
Source: RNAcentral
AGAGAUCAUUAUAGUUGCAUUUGUAUUCUAUGCAUAUUUAUUAACUAGUAUUUAAUACUUGUUUGCAGCAAAAACUAGAUGUCAAGGGUUUAAGGAUGGAUGAGGAAGUUUGUGCUAGCGUCAAGAAGCUUCUUUCAUUGAAGUCAAAGGAUUAAAGAUAUUGGCUUCAUAUGCGUUACCUUAACCAUGAAAAAGACUCAAAACCAAGUACUGUGAGCACAGC